CCCAACCAAAAGCGCAGGUCAUUGGGGUUUUCCUGAAAGAAAAAUAACACUGGUCAGAGACCAGUCCCCAUUACAGAUGGAGACGUGAGAACAAGAUGAUGUCAGAGUCCCCGAGGCCUCUGUGUUCACACUGUUUUGGCUCUUAACAAUUUGGAAAAACGGUAACACAUGAAGACACUUGGAAGAGUUAUAGUCCAUAGUUGGUAUCAAGACGAUACAGUUGUGGGACUGGAGAGACCCCUGUCAUCCAUGCGGACAGCAACGACAAGAGAACAGGCCUUAGCUUGUGCUCAGCACUAAGUGACUGUGUGUGAAAGAAAUCAAUGCGUCUUUACCCAAUAAUAGGCUUAAUGAUUGGAAGUCUUUGGUAAGAAACAUGAGAUUAAAACAAAAUAAAGAAGACAGAAAGAAAGCCAUUGUUGUCUUUUGGAAAUGUCUCAGAACAGAACUAAAGAGAGCUACCUCUGAGCUGGGGGAUUAAGAGCUGUCAGGGAUUCUAAACCAUAAUCUAUUUCAAGGAACAGACACUCGAGGUUUUAAAACUUGUGUGCAGGAUAUAAAAGUCUAUGGUAUUGUCCCCAUCAAAAAAAAAGUAUGAUUCACUUCAGGUGGUUAAGAAAUAAACCCGGACCAGACACACACUUUUAAAUGAAGGGUUUUUGGGAGGUAUCAGCCCUUUCUGGCCUAAGGCGGGUAAGGCAAGCCAAGGCUACUCAGGAAUUUAGUCCUUUCAGACAAGAGAGGAUCCAUUCUGGUUUUCAGGUAUUUGAAUCUUCUGUGUGGGUGACAUCAGAGGGUGAAAAGAAAAAGUGGAGGAAGAAAAAUCAUAAGCCAGGAGACAUUUGGUCACUGCUACUUCCUCUUUCUUCACUCUACAUUGCACAGAUGCCAUUGGCUUGUGCAAAAAUACAAAACAAGUAAGAAACGCCUCAUAAACGAUUUCAAGGAUGAAAAGGAUCUGCAUUCUGGAGAGUGUGUUUGGUGAGGGACUUCUGCUACCACAGCUUUCUACCUCCUCCACAGAGACCGUUCUUAGCACACACACCUUCAG
Non-coding RNA from Rattus norvegicus (Norway rat), 1051 nucleotides. Lineage: Eukaryota; Metazoa; Chordata; Mammalia; Rodentia; Muridae. The record is from RefSeq and is a predicted model, not a curated record.